GAUGUCGUGACCGAGUGGUCUAAGGUGCUGGCUUUAGGCGCCAGUCCGAAAGGGCGUGGGUUCGAACCCCACCGACAUCA
This is a transfer RNA of Coccomyxa subellipsoidea C-169, 80 nucleotides long. It matches the Rfam family "tRNA". From Rfam's summary of the family: Transfer RNA (tRNA) molecules are approximately 80 nucleotides in length. Their secondary structure includes four short double-helical elements and three loops (D, anti-codon, and T loops). Further hydrogen bonds mediate the characteristic L-shaped molecular structure. tRNAs have two regions of fundamental functional importance: the anti-codon, which is responsible for specific mRNA codon recognition, and the 3' end, to which the tRNAs corresponding amino acid is attached (by aminoacyl-tRNA synthetases). tRNAs cope with the degeneracy of the genetic code in two manners: having more than one tRNA (with a specific anti-codon) for a particular amino acid; and 'wobble' base-pairing, i.e. permitting non-standard base-pairing at the 3rd anti-codon position. NCBI's taxonomy places the organism in Eukaryota, Viridiplantae, Chlorophyta, Trebouxiophyceae, Coccomyxaceae. The record is from Rfam.